UUCACAUGAAGACAGUUGGGAACUUCCUGGAGGAACAUUACUGCUCUGCCUGCAUCAAGUAUCUGUCAAUGGGCUGCCUAUUACAAGGACAUUUAAUCGUAUCUACAUUUCCUUCUGGAAGCUAGCUUUAGGGCAGCCAGGAGUGCCUGAGGAAUGUCACAGAGAUCCCAUGCGGGGGGAGGGCCAGCUUCUGCUUUGUCCUCCGUUUGCCUUCUGGUCCCUCAUCACUUUGCAUCAGAAAAGCUGAAAUUGCUCCUUCUGCCCGGGCCGCAGCCCCAGGCGAGAUAGAACAACGUAUCCACACUGCACGCGGAAACACCCGUUGUUACAGUGUAGGCGAUUUGCUGAAGGAGCCACCGCUCACAGAUACCGGACUGGCACUCAGACCCAGGCCACGCAGACCUAACUGCUAAC
Ailuropoda melanoleuca (giant panda) is the source of this 414-nucleotide long non-coding RNA. RefSeq lists it as uncharacterized. The transcript has 3 exons. The record is from RefSeq and is a predicted model, not a curated record. NCBI's taxonomy places the organism in Eukaryota, Metazoa, Chordata, Mammalia, Carnivora, Ursidae.